UGCGUAGGCGGCUUGGUAGGUGAGAUGUGAAAGCCCACGGCUCAACCGUGGAAUUGCGUUUCAAACCCCCAAGCUCGAGGAAGAUAGGGGUGAUGGGAACUUAUGGUGGAGCGGUGAAAUGCGUUGAUAUCAUAGGGAACACCGGUGGCGAAAGCGCAUCACUGGAUCUUUUCUGACGCUGAGGCACGAAAGCUAGGGUAGCGAACAGGAUUAGAUACCCUGGUAGUCC
This 229-nucleotide ribosomal RNA is filed under the name uncultured bacterium. Its description in RNAcentral is "partial 16S ribosomal RNA". It matches the Rfam family "Bacterial small subunit ribosomal RNA", at positions 568 to 796 of the family's 1533-position model. The record is from RNAcentral.